GGAAGUUGUUCCUGUGGCGCCUAGACCAAUUGAAGUGAAAGCUGAUGACAGUGAUCAUGAAGCUUCAGGAUCAAGUUACUACAAACCUCGUAGGUCGACAAGGUCACAUACUGCUCCAGAGUCCUACGGUAACCUAGUCUUGGAGGUCAUGUUGUUGGACAAUAAUGAACCUACCAGCUACGGAGAAGCGAUGGUGGGCCCGGUUCCGACAAAUGGCCGGAGGCCAUGAAACCCGAGAUAGGAUCCAUGUAUGAAAAUAAAGUGUGGACUUUGGAAGACCUACUUGAUGGUCGUAAGACUAUUAAGUACAGAUGAAUCUUUAAAAGGAAGACGGACGAUGAUGGUGAAAAGUCACCAUUAGGAAAGCUCAACUUGUCGCAAAGAUGUUUCCGACAAGUUCAAAGACUUGACUAUGAUGAGACUUUCUCAUUCGAAGCGAUACUAAAAGUCUGUUGGAAUUAUGUUAGUAGUUGCUGCAUUAUUGAUGAAAUCUUGGAGAUAGGAUGUCAAAACAUUGUUUCCUCGAUGAUUUCCUUGAGGAAAGGUUGUAUGUGAUACAACCAGAAGGUUUUGUCGAUCCUAUGGAUGCUAACAAGUAUUCAAGCUCCAGCAAUCCUUCUAUGGAUUGGUGCAAGUAUCUCUGAGUUGGAAUAUACGCUUUGAUGAGAUGAUCAAAGCUUUUGGUUUAUACAAAGUAUUUCCAAGGAAGUGAGUGGGAGCACUAUAGAACUUCUGAUGAGUAUAUUUGGUUGACAUAUUGUUGAUCGGAAAUGAUGUAGAAUUUCUUGAAAGCAUAUAGGGUUGUUCGAAAAGGUGUUUUCAGAGAAAACCCUGGAAUGAGCUACUUGAACAUUGAGCAUCAAGAUAUAUAGAGAUAGAUAAGGACGCUUGAUAAAACUUUCAAUGAAAUGCAUGCCUUGACAAAUUUUUGAAGGAGUUCAAAAUAGAUCGGCAAAGAAUGAGUUCUUGGCUGUUUUUAAGGUGUGAAUAUGAGUAAGACUCAAAGUCCGACCACGACAGAAGAAAGAGAAAGGACGAAGGUCGUCCCCUUUGCAUUAGCCAUAGGCUCUAUAGUAUGCUAUGUUGUGUACCGCACCUGAUGGGUGCCUUGCCAUGAAUUUGUUAAGGGGUACGAAAGUGAUCCACGAAUAGAUUAUUGGACAACGGUUAAAAGUUAUCCUUAGUAACUAGUGGACUAAGGAAUUUUUUCUCGAUUAGGGAGGUGUUAAAAGAGUUCGUUGUAAAGGGUUACGCCGAUGCAAGCUUUGACAUUAUUCCGAAAAACUCUGAGUAGUAAACCGGAUUCGUAUAGUGGAGCAGUCAUUUGGAAUAGUUCCAAAAUGGCACGUUGGUAGCAGCACCUACAGGAUGACAUAGAGAUUUGUAAAGCACACUCAGAUCUGAAAGGUUCAGACCCGUUGACUAAAACCUCUCUCACAAGCAAGACAUGAUCAAACCCCAGAACUGUAUGGGUGUUAGAUUCAUCAAAAUCACAUAGUGAUGUGAACUAGAUUAUUGACUCUAGUGCGAGUGGGAGACUAUUGGAAAUAUGCCCUAGAGGCAAUAAUAAAUUGGUUAUUAUUAUAUUUCCUUGUUCAUGAUAGUCAUUUAUUAUCCAUGCUAUAAUUGUAUUUAUUGGAAACUCAAAUACAUGUGUGGAUACAUAGACAAAACAUUGUCCCUUGUAAGCCUCCAGUUGACUAGAUCGUUGAUCAAAGAUGAUUAAGGUUUCCUAGCCAUAGACAAGUGUUGUCACUUGAUAACGGGAUCACAUCAUUAGGAGAAUGAUGUGAUGGAAAAUACCCAAACUAGAAACGUAGCAUAUGAUCGUGUCAGUUUAUUGCUACUGUUUUCUGCAUGUCAAUGUAUCUGUUCCUAUGACCAUGAGAUCAUGCAACUCCCGGACACCGGAGGAAUACCUUGUGUGUAUCAAAUGUCGUAACAUAACUAGGUGACUAUAAAGGUGCUCUACAGGUAUCUCUGAAGGUGUCCGUUGAGUUCGCAUGGAUCAAGACUGGGAUUUGUCACUCCGUGUGACGGAGAGGUAUCUCGGGACCCACUCGGUAAUACAACAUCACAGACAAGCCUUGCAAGCAAUGUGACUUAAGAGUUAGCCACCGGAUCUUGUAUUAUGGAUCGAGUAAAGAUACUCGCGCUAACAAGAUUGAAAUAGGUAUGAAGAUACCGACGAUCAAAUCUCGGGCAAGUUACAUUCCGAAGGACAAAGGGAAUGAUAUACGGGAUUGUGUAAAUCCUUGACAUAGAGGUUCAACCGAUAAGAUCUUCGUAGAAUAUGCAGGAUCCAAUAUGGACGUCCAGGUCCCGCUAUUGGAUAUUGGCCGGAGAAUGUCUCGGUCAUGUCCACAUAGUUCUCGAACCAGCAGGGUCUGCACACUUAUGGUUCAGUGACGAUAUAAGUAUAGUUGAGUUGUUAUGUUGGUGACCGAAGGUUGUUCGGAGUUUCGGAUAAGAUCACGGACAUGACGAUGUACUUCGAAAUAGUCCUGAGGUAAAGAUUGAUAUAUGGGACAAUAGUGUUUGGUCUCUCGAAUUGUUUUGGAAUUCACCGAAAGGGGUUUCCGAUGUUUCCGAAAUAUUCGGGUACGAGAACACCUUUACUUGGGCCAGGGGGGAAGCCCACGAGGCUUUAGGUAGUUGCAAAAGGAGUUUUGCAAAGGCCACCGGCCAGACGCUGGGGACCCUGGUGUUUGGGGCCAGACGCCGAGGACCUUGGCGUUUGGUCCUGGAGUCCGAGGAGGACUCUUGCAUUUCGUGCAAAACCGACUUUGAGGAGGUUUUUUCUUGAAGAAAUGACCCCAGGGCUCAGCAUACAAAUAGAGAGACACGGCUAGCACCUAGAAUACAUCAAGAUUGCCCCAAGUCGUGUGCCGGCAACCCCGCCCCUCUAGUUCAUCCUCUGUCAUAUUUUCCGUUGUGCUUGGCGAAGCCCUGCGGAAAUAAUUUCACCACCACCGACACCAUGCCGCCGUGCUACCGGAACUCAUCUACUAAUUUGCCCCUCUUGCUGGAUCAAGAAGGCGAGGACGUAAUCGAGCCGUACGUGUGCUGAACGCGGAGGUGCCGUCCUUUCCGCACUAGAUCGGGAUGAAUCAUGAUGGGAUCGCGGGACGGAUCGUGAUGAGAUCGCGGGAUGGGCUGAGAUUUGUAUCGCAAAGAUGUUCCACUACAUCAACCGCGUUAUAUACGCUUUCGCUUAGCGAUCUACAAGGGUAUGUAGAUUCACUCUCCCCUCUCGUAGAUGAUCAUCACCAUGGAUAGGUAUUGCGUGUGCGUAGGAAAUUUUUUGUUUCCCAUGCACCGUUCCUCAACAGAUAUAACAAAAAAUCCAUGUUGGCACAUGGAAGCAACUGCACUUGCAACUAGCAGCGCUAUAAGAAGGCUGAGAAGGCGGUAACAUAGCCAAACAAGGGCUUGCUGGGUUGUGGAAGGGUUAGAGGCUUUUCAUGGUAAUAUUGGGAGGCUUGACAUAACAAGUGGUAGGCAGCGAGACAUAGCCAUAGAAAUGAGACAAGUAGCAUAGGAAUGAUAGUAGUGGUAUCUAGGGAAAUUAUCAUCUUCCCUGUGAUCCCUCUUGGAAGAAGAACGAACCGGUGAAGCAGACGAACCAACACAGUCGAACGAAUCCUCACACUCUGACGCGCUUGCAGAACUCAAUCGAGAAGAACCAAUCCGGAAACAACAAUCAACACACGACAAACAACACAACAUAUUCAUGGCAUGAUGGGAAGCAAUUAUGAUGCAUGUCCAUUUAAUUAUGCACGACACGACAAAGCACAAUAAUUUAUUAUUGCACAUUAAACGAAGCUCAAUAUGCAAUGAGUUGCAGAUCGACACAACUUCGCAUUUCGAUUACUUAGUUUGCUCCUGUUUAGGUACUCGACAAUGUUAAAUGUUGUUAAACAUGGCAAGAGGUGAACCAUAAUUAAACUAUAUUAUCUAGGCAUUUUAAAUGAGGUCGGAAACAAGAUAUACCAUUUCUGAAACGACACCAUAUGUUAAUUUCGGAAAUAAAGUGAUUUUACAAUUCCGAAAUGAUCCCAUAUGUUAAAUGAGGUCCAGAUCUGAUCUAAUCACAUUUAAUAUUUAUUAAACAGGAAAAUAAAGUGCAUCAUGUGAUUUUACACGUCAUCCUAGUCGAUUAACAUAUAAAAAUCAUCUAAAAUGGAGCUACGGUCUAAAAGAUAUGAGCAACAUAAGAUAAUAUUCCAUGAAUGUAAAAUGUAUGCAAAUGAGAGCCACAAGCAUGUUAAAACAUGGAUGAACAAGAUAUUAUGGAACUAAAUGAAAUUCUAGACAAGUUUAAUGAGGCCGGAAGAACGACUAACAAUUGCAAAAAUUUCCCAUAUGCAAAUUAAGAUUAGGUACUGUUCUGCCUAUAACACAUUUUAGAAUUUUGAAGCAGCAAAAUAAAUGUCAGCAUGUUGUUCUACACAUCUUUCUAGUGAAGUUACAUAUGUGGAUCAUUUUAUUGAGAGCUAUAGUUAAUUAAUUCUGAAACAAACCGUUUUAAAAUGACAUUAACGCAAAAAUAUUACAAACAAUAAGAUAAAUAUUUUUAACAUGGUUGCAAAUUGGAUAUUGUGAAAUUCCGAAAAUUCUGAACAUUUUACAUGUAUGAAGUUUAUAAAUCCGAUGCACGGUUAUGUUGCUAUGAAUUAAAUCAUUUUAAUAUGGCAUCACACAAAAUAAUGCAAACAACGGGUUAAACAUUUUUAAACAUGCAUGAAAGUUACAAAUUAUUAAUCUACGCAAAAUUUUAGAAAUUCCACAUAUAUAAUCUUUUUACAUAUGAUGCACGGCUUGAGAGUUAGCAAUUUAAAAAUAUGCAAUUUUCUAUAAAACUAACAUUCCUGAGAUAAAUAGAUUAAGUCAUAGAACCUAAGAAAGCUAAACAUGCUGAAUCUGCUUCUGCUGGGCUACACAAAUGUGGGCGCUGGUUGGUGACGCGGCACGACAAUCAAUGGAGAGGGAUUGGGUUUCCAUAUUAGGACGAGGGGGCUAUUUAUAGCAGAUCUUGCUAUGGUUAGGGGAUUUUAGCCCUAUUCGAGCCGUUCGAUCACAAUCGGAUGGCUCCGGUCACGGGUAGGGGCUAGGCUAGGAUAGUAGGUUGUGUAGAGGUGUUGGGGUGAGAGAAGGUAGAGGAAAUUAGCAGCCCAACAACAAUUUAGGAACACCGAAAAUGUGUGCAACUUGACCGGCUAUGGUGUCGCUAUAGGUUUAACGGUUCAGGUGUAAAACAAUCUUCGAUUGCGACAAAAUUUGGUAGGCGGCGUAUCUACACUAUAUUUAGACCACAUGCCAACUUUCAACCCAUUCCAAGAAUGUUUUAUAGACAUUUUUAAAAACAAUAUUUUAAUGAUGCUGCAUAUGUGUGCUUGUGUGGUUGGUCUUGAAAUGGACAACGACAAAAACUGAGAGAACCGGCAACUUAUACUGGAUGCAAGUUUUGAAAAAUGACGGUAAUGGUGUGCCGAUGCAAUGCGGAUGAUGCGACGACGAAUGCGACAAAAAAAAGAAUCACACGAUGACAAUGGAAUAAAUGGGAAUCUUCUAGGACGUCGGUUCCGGACAUUUACAACUCUCCUACACUAACAAGAGAUCUCGACCCGAGAUCUAAGAAUGAAAAGGGGGAUUGGAAGAGGAAAGGAAGAGGUAAAACUUAGUUGCUUCUUGGCAAACGAAUGAAUCCAACGAUCCUUGAAGGUUGCAAAGAGAUGAAGAAUGACAUGAGGAACAAAGAAGAAUUCAAAAGAAAUUUCGACAUCACUUCGGCAGGAAAUAGAAGAAAACUUGAUAAGAUGAAAAGAACUUGAAAAGAUUACACAACACUCCGGUUAAAUGAAUCAAGCAAAUAAAUAACAUGAUCUUGAUAAGACAAUAUAAUGGAUGAAAGAGGGCAACAUCACAACGCCUCCGAAACAAAGAAUGGAAUCUAGAUCAUUUGACGGAGAAGAAAAUGACAACUUCUACCACAAUUGGAUUAAAGAGCAUCAUUACAGAGGAUGAUUGAAUGGAGUUGUAGGAAAAUCAACAACGAAAAGAACAAGCUUGUAGUGGACUUAUGAAAACCAUCUCAAAUAAUGAGGUGACAACCGGCCACUAACUGAAACAGAGAUUGCUUGGGAGCAACAAGAUACGCAAAACUUCUUCCACCAACAGCAUAUAUUGAGAACUUCGGUCAACAAUAAUCCCCAUACAGCAAUAAUCAGUCAGAAAAGUUUUAGGUGAAAUCCAAUCCAAGAUAACUUCAGUGAAGAAACCAUGAGUUAAAAAUAUCUCAUGGUCAAGAAAUUGGUGAGUUUAACUAUCUCAUUAUUGAAACAAAUUCUCUUCGAGACUCCUCCACUAACAACAAUGCUAUAACACCACCUCAAAGGAUGAUGGAGGAAGAAUUGCACUUUGAAAUGCAAGAGAAAGAAUACUUGAAGUUCUCCAACAAGAAUCUUGAAGAACACCUUGAGAAUGGAUAAAAUCCUUGAUGAACCACCAUGAAUAGCCUUCGUAUACAAAAGAAUGAUCAAAAGAAAUGAAGGACCAAAAGAAAUAAGAUUAAGUCCUUGCAAAGAUUUAGAUGAUGCUUCACGAAGAGAUACCUGAGAAAAGCUUGGAAUCCCGAAAUAGAAAAGAUGAACAACUUAGAAUCGAGAAUUUGAUAUCAUGAACAACCACGCAAGAAGAAUUGAAAUCACCUUGAAGAAACAAGAACAAGAAUUAUGUUAUGCUUAUCCUUCAUCAAGUUAAAUUGAUGACAAUCGUUGGAUUUGGCAUACAACUUAUUCUUCUUGAAAAAGAAUGAAAAGAGAUAGGGCACAAACUUGAAGAAGUCUUCGAUAAAACAACAAUAAGAAUAUGGAAUGAAUGAGGAAACCAAGAAUGAAUGGAGAUACAUGAGAACGAAGAGAUCAGGAUCCACCUCAGAGAAAACUUGAACAAGGCACCGGAAUAAUUAAGAUACAAACGAAGGGACAACAGUUGAGGAGAAUUUGAGAAUGAAGCUGAAAGCUGAGAACGAAGAAAUCUUCUGAAAUGAACACAACUCUGAAAUGCACCAGAUAGAUAUGGAAGGAAUUACUCAUGAUCGAAAACAAUUUGAGAGAGAGAGCACGGAGCUGAGAUGACAAUCUUCAAAGUAUUGGCAAACAUUCAAGAGGAACUCUUCUUCGGUCUUCAAUGCACAGAAUGAUGACAACAAGCACCACCAAGAAUUAUUGAGACACUCCAGAAUAAAGAAUAAGAAUAGUUGAGCCAAUGAUGGAAAUAAUUCGGAUCGAUCUGAAGAAGGAAUAUGACUGAUUACAAUAAUUCUUACAUCAUAAUUAAAAAGACCUUGAGAUAUUCAGAAAAGAUUACAUGAGCUAGGUAUGAUCAUGGAGAAGAACCUGUGGGUUAUGGGCCCACUCAAAAGAAACCACCAUUGAAAAGAUUGCUAAGAAAAAUUUAUUUCACCGAUACAAAUGAAACUUGAUGAGAUGAGACCCUUGAAAUAAUUGAAAGGAUUGAAAAUAAUAAACUUCUGAGAUAUCUUCAACGUUGUAGAUAGAAAGAGAGGAAUGAAUAAAUCAGAGAGGCUUGAAUAAUAAUUUCCAACAUGGAAAAGCAUUGAAUGAAUGAAAAGGAUAUGAAGAACACCGAGAGAUUUAAUUGAAUCCAUCGGAGAAGAAAACAAGAAUGAUGAAUGAUGAACUCGAAACUCAUGAGAAUCUUCACAAUGAAUCACCAGAUACAAGAUAGAUGAAGCAUAAGUGAAAAGAAUGGCACUUGGAUGAUAAUUGAAUCAUUGAAGAAAAUGGGGGAAGGGUGGGGAAAAACAACGGCAACUUGAGACACAUUAGACAAACUCCGGAAAGAAAAGAAUUGUUAAGACAGUUUGAUUGAGCAAAAGAAUUAAUUAGUACUACCAUAGAAAUAUGAGAACACCACUUAGAAAAGAUAUGAAAUCACCACUUGACGUCAAAGCAACUCGAAUUACCAUACUCCAACAAAACAAAGGAUGAGGCUUACGAAACAAGCCGGAAACAAAUUAAUGAUAGAGAUUCCGUUUGAUAUUUUCAUGGUGAGGAUCGGAUGGGCUCUAUCUUAAAUAACCAUCAUGUACAAGGCAGUGCACACGACAUACAAAGUGUUCCUAAGUCGUAGCAAGCUACAAUGACUCUUUAAGACACAACGAGAACCACUGUAAGAAAGACUGUGAACAAAUGAAUCCACUUGAGUCGAACCCCAACCUCACAUCAUGCAUUUGUUGGAAGAUAAUCCUAGGUAACUACUUGAAUUCCCACCUAAGAACUUUCAAAAAAAAUCGGUUAUGCAAUCGACUCCAUGGAUACGAAGAGUAAAAUCCAUCACUCAACUCCUAGCAAUAACACUGCCCGUCUAGUGUAAACCAGAGGCUUUCAUCCACAUAGGCAAGGUGACUCAUCUAGGGUUUUAGUUCAUACUAUCUCGAGGUCGAUCCACUCUAUAAUCCUCACACACAUCAAUAUAAUCAAGCAGGAUGUAGGGUUUUACCUCCUCAAGAGGGCCCGAACCUGGGUAAACAUUGUUUUCUUCGUCCCCUGUAACCCAUCGAUCCAAGGUCCAAAGCUCGGGACCCCCUACCCGAGCUCCGCCGGUUUUGACAGUGACAUUGGUGCUUUCAUUGAGAGUUCCACUGUGAGAUCACCGGAAGGAUUGAUGGCCGCUUAAAUAUAAGCGAUCGAAUCAGCAACAGGGACAUCUUCAUCCCCGGACAGGUUGUCGCGUUCGGCAGCUUGACGUAGCGCGUCGACCCGACUAACUGCCUUGCCCAGAUCGGAGGCUUUGCCCCCGAUCAAGAGAUAAUGUUCGGGAACCUGGAAUUCCCCGCCAACUCCCGUGGUGAUCUUUCCCCCGCUAAGAUCACAGUUUUGUCCGAUGAGCUCCAAAAUCUCGAAGCCGUGACUUCGGGUCUCUUGCCCGGCUAUGACCUCGGUCUCCUCUUUGUCGAAGAGUUGGCUUUGAGUCUGGAUCCGACCUCAGCGCCCCGGGCAACAGAAGACGUCCAUUUCCAAACACACAUCCCUAACAGAAGCGACGGAGGUCAACAUGAAAACCAUCAAGAGAUCGAUGAGGACAACCUCUCGAUGUUGAACGAGAUGCUCGAGCGAAUCCAGUCGUUGAAGAUCAGAUACGGCAUGAGCCUCACCUAUACUCGGAUCGGUUCAGAUGGGGAUUAUGAGGACUUUCACGGCCCACCCACCACCCACUUGGUAGCCGCCGUCGAAGACGUAACCGACAUGUUGGACUACGCCUCCUAGGGGGUUGAAGACAUGGAUGAUGAGGCCGAUGACCCCGCCCUUGUACAUGGUGGACAUAUACCUUUGACGUUGUUGGCCUCUUGUCCGCUAAGUACUUAGGGCAAUUUCGCUUCCAGUGACCGGUUCCCUUGCAGUAAUAACACUCAGUCUCAGGCUUGGGUCUUUUCUUUGGCUUCUUCCCGACAACUAGUUUACCGGGCGCGACAACUGCUUUGCCGCUUUCUUGAAGCUCUUCUUACCCUUGCCCUUCUUGAAACUGGUGGUCUUAUUGACCAUCAACACUUGAUGCUCUUUCUUGAUUUCUACCUUUGCAGAUUUCAACAUUGAAUACAACUCGGGAAUAGUCUGUCCAUCCCUUGCAUGUUGUAAUUCAUCACAAAGCCUUUAUAGCUGGGUGUAAGCGACUGGAGGAUUUUCUCAAUUACCACAUCAUCCGGAAGUUCAACUCCCAGCUGAGUCAAGUGGUUGUGCAACCCAGACAUUCUGAGUAUGUGCUCACUGACAGAACUAUUCUCCUCCAUCUUACAUCUGAAGAACUUGUCGGAGAAUUCAUAUCUCUUAACCCGGGCAUGAGCUUGAAAAACAAGUUUCAUCUACUCGAACAUCUCAUAUGCUCUGUGUUGCUCAAAACGGCUUUCGAGCCCCAGUUCUAAACUGUAAAGCAUGUCGCACUGAACCAGAGAGUAGUCAUCACUCCGCGACUGCGGGGCGUUCCUAGCGUCCUGGUCUUCCGCGGGAACGGGAGGAUCACCUAGCGGUGCAUUAAGGACAUAUGGCUUCUUUGAAGAAGUGAGGAUGAGCUUUAAGUUACAAGCUCAAUCCGCAUAGUUGCUCCCAUCAUCUUUCAGCUUGGUUUUCUCUAGGAACGCGUUGAAGUUGAAUGAGACAUUUGCGUUGUCCAUUGGAUCUACAAUAUUUGUAAAGACAAUUUUAGACUAAGUUCAUGAUAAUUAAGUUCAUCUAAUCAAAUUACUAAUGAACUCCCACUUAGAUCGACAUCCCUCUAGUCAUCCAAGUGUUACAUGAUCCAGGUCGACUAGCCCGUGUCCGAUCAUCACGUGAGACGGACUAGUCAUCGAUGGUGAGCAUCUCCAAGCUGAUCGUAUCAACCAUACGACUCAUGUUCGACCUUUCGGUCUCCCGUAUUCGAGGCCAUAUCUGUACAUGCUAGGCUCGUCGAGUCAACCUAAGUGUUUUGCGUGUGUAAACUGGCUUACACCCGUUGUAUGCGAACGUUAGAAUCUAUCACACCCGAUCAUCACGUGGUGCUUCGAGACAACGAUCCUUCACAAAGAUGCACAAAGAUGCACACUUAGGGAAAUUUUAAUGAGGGAUCAUCUUAUCUUUGCUACCGUCGUUCUAAGCAAUAAGAUGAAAAACAUGAUAAACAUCACAUGCAAUCAUAUAGUGACAUGAUAUGGCCAAUAUCAUCUUGCUCCUUUAAUCUCCAUCUUAGGGGCACCAUGAUCAUCAUUGUCACCGGCAUGACACCAUGAGCUCCAUCAUCAUGAUCUCCAUCAUUGUGUCUCCGUUUAUCAAUAAAGGAAAGUAACCACAUGGCAUUGCAUCUCAUACAAUAAAUUAAGACAACUCCUAUGGCUCCUGCCGGUUGUCAUACUCAUCGACAUGCAAGUCGUGAAUCCUAUUACAAGAACAUGAUCAAUCUCAUACAUCACAUAUGUAAUAUCACAUCCUUUUGGCCAUAUCACAUCACAUAGCAUACCCUGCAAAAACAAGUUAGACAUCCUCUAAUUGUUGUUGCAAGUACGUGGGUGAUUACGGUUUCUACCAAGAACGCUUCUUACCUAUGUGACAGCCACAACGUUGAUAUGCCAAUGCUAUUUACCCUUCAUAAGGACCCUCUUCAUCGGAUCCGAUCUGACUAAAGUGGGAGAGACAGGCACCCGUUAGCCACCAUAUGCACCAAGUGCAUGUCAGUCGGUGGUACCAGUCUCACGUAAGCGUACGUGUAAGGUCGGUCGGGCUGUUCAGCCCACAAUGCCGCCGAAUGAAGAUAAGACUAGUAACGACAAGCAAUUGACAAAAUCAGCGCCCACAACUUUUGUAUUCUACUCGUGCAUAGAAUCUACGCAUAGAACCUUGGCUCGGAUGCCACUGUUGGGUAACGUAGUAAUUUCAAAAAAAUUCUUACGUCAUGCAAGGAUCUAUCUAUGGAGAAACCAGCAACGAGCAAACGGGUAGAGCAUAUUCAUACCUUUGAAGAUUGCUAAGCGGAAGCGUUGCUAGAACGCGGUUGAUGGAGUCGUACUCGCAGCGAUUCAGAUCACGAUGGAUUCCGAUCUAUGCACCGAACGUCGGUGCCUCCAUGUUCAACACACGUGUAGCCCGGUGACGUCUCCAAUGCCUUGAUCCAGCAAGGAGGGAGGAGAGGUUGAGGGAGAGCUCCGACAGCACGAUGGCGUGGUGAUAGUGGAUUUACAUGGCACUCCGACAGGGCUUCGCCAAGCACUACGGAGGAUGAGGAGGAGGAGGUGUAGGGCUGCGCCGAGAGAGAGAGAGAGAGAGAAAAGUUGUCUCAAAUCAGCCCCAAACCCUCACUAUAUAUAGGAGGAGAGGGAGAAGGGUACCCAUCCUUAGGGUUUCCCACCCUAAGGGGUGCAGCAGCGCAUCUAGGGCAAGGGGCGGCGUCCAAGGUUGGAGAGGUGGUGGCGCCCUAGGGUGGCCUAGCCCACCACGCUCUCUCUUGCGCCUUGGGCUGAAGGUGGUGGCGCACCAGCCCACUUAUGGGCUGGUUCCCAUCCACUUUUGGCCCAACCACCCUUUCGUGGCUUGUGGCCCUUCCCGGUGGACGCCGGAAGCCUUCUGGUGGUCCCGGUACAUUACUGGUGUCGCCCGAAACACUUGAGGUGACCAAUUCCUCACUUCCUAUAUAUAAAUCUUUACCUCCAGACCAUUUCGGAAUUCCUCGUGAUGUCCAGGAUCUCAUCCGGGACUCCGAACAACCUUCGGUAACCACAUACACUAUUCCCCUAUAACCCUAGUAUCAUCGAACCUUAAGUGUGUAGACCAUGUGGGUUCGGGAAGCAUGUAGACAUGACUAAGACACCUCUUCGGUCAAUAACCAAAAGCGUGGUCUGGAUAUCCAUGUUGGUUCCCACAUGUUCCUCGAUGAUCUCAUCGGAUGAAACAUCGUGUCGAGGAUUCAAUCAAUCCCGUAUGCAAUUCCCUUUAUCUAUCGGUCCUAUACUUGCCCGAGAUUUGAUCGUCGGUAUCCCUAUACCUUGUUCAAUCUCGUUACCAGCAAGUCUCUUUACUCAUUCCGUAACACAUCAUCCCUUGGCUAACUCCUUAUUCACACUGAGCUCAAUAUGAUGAUGUAUUACCGAGUGGGCCCAUAGAUACCUCUCCGUCACAUGGAGUGACAAAUCCCAGUCUCGAUUCGUGCAACCCAACAGAUACUUUCGGAGAUGCCUGUAGUGCACCCUUAUAAUCACCCAGUUACAUUGUGGUGUUUGAUACACCCAAAGAAUUCCUACGGUAUCUAGCAGUUGCACAAUCUCAUGGUCUAAGGAAAUGAUACUUGACAUUAGAAAAGCUUUAGCAGACGAACAACAUGAUCUAGUGCUAUGCUUAGGAUUGGGUCUUGUCCAUCACACCAUUCCCCAAUGAUGUGAUCCCGUUAUCAAUGACAUCCAAUGUCCAUCAUCAGGAAACAAUGAUCAUCGAUUGAUCAACGAGCUAGCCAACUAGAGGAUCACUAGGGACACAUUGUGAUCUAUAUAUUCACACAUGUAUUAUGGUUUACGGUUAAUACAAUUAUAGCAUGAAAAAUAGACAAUAAUAACUACUUUGUUAUUGCCUCUAGGGCAUAUUUCGAAUAGUUGGGUGUCUAAAUAGGUCGGCAAACUGGCAGCCGAGGAACAAGGCAAGGGCCCACGAAGCGAGGACGACGAAGAGCCUCGUGGUCGAAACACUUAGGGCCAGAAAUAGUUCCCCCCAGAGGUGAAAACCGUGAAUAUGAUAUACGCUACUAACAUACCAAAGAAGGAGAGGAAUCAAGCCCUUCGGGAGGUAUACACCAUAUAGCGCAUAGCCCCAAAGUGCAACCCAUGUUCGGCUUGCCCGAUCACCUUCGACCGUAGGUAUCAUCCGACCAGUAUCCAUCACGGAGGGUCGGACGCCCUUGUCCUAGACCCCAUCAUAGAUUGGUACCACCUCACUAGUGUCCUUAUGUACCGAGGAAGUAGCCUUAACCUGAUUUACUCAGAUACGGUGAAAAAGAUGGGCAUAGACCCAUCAAGAAUCAGACCCAGCAACACUACCUUCAAAGGAGUGAUCCUAGGCGUCGAAGCCCGCUGCUCCGGCAUGGUAACGUUGGAGGUUGUGUUUGGCUCACCUACAACUUCAACAACAAAGACUUAAUCUUCGACAUCGUCCCCUUCUGCAGCGGGUCUCACGCACUACUCAGCCGCAAGGCAUUCACCCGCUUUAAUGUUGUGCCUCAUAAUGCCUAAAAAAAGCUCAAGAUGACCAGACCUAGGGGAGUUAUCACCCUCAACGGCAACAUAGAAUGCUCCCUUCGGACCAAGGAGCAUACAACGGCCUUGACAGCUGAAUGCCGAUACGACAACGAAACAUCAAUCUACAAGCUAGCCAUCAAGGAGUGGCAGGCGGGCAAGCGAGCCCGCGCUCAAUCGGAUCCCCCGAAGACAUAUUCGACUCAAAAAAAAUAGGGAUACGCUCCCCACGGCAUAGGCCGGUCACCCGUAAGGUAUGUCCCUCAUAGACACAAUUUCAUUCUCAAAAUACCAAGGGCAGCUAUGGGGAUCCAGCACCAAGGACCAUAUCUUCGGUUCAACCAAACUACGGUCCAAAGAUCUUAACGGACAAAAGCGAGAUACCAUUAAGGAUCGCCCAAGCGUCAAGCUCACCCAUAGCACGAUAGCUUUUCAAGACCCACUAUUCAAGGUCCAUCUGCCAACAACAACCACCUUUAAAGUAUACUACCACUCCCUUCUAAGAAGCAUAGGAUAAAUUGCGCAGCUAGAAGCAGGGCGGACGUCAAGUCACCCAUGGAAGGCCAUGGAGGAAAAGUUUCUUUGAAAUAUAUUGCUGAAAACAAUAAUUACUUGUAAAGCUUCCUUAGCGCCACGAAUUAUAAAAAAUUCGACCAAAUAUUAUCUAUAUACUCUUUUAUAGUAUUAUAUAUAUAUAUAUAUAUUUCUUGNNNNNNNNNNNNNNNNNNNNNNNNNNNNNNNNNNNNNNNNNNNNNNNNNNNNNNNNNNNNNNNNNNNNNNNNNNNNNNNNNNNNNNNNNNNNNNNNNNNNGCUUAGGAUCCCAAUGUGCUGGAAAGGAGACAGGAACUACCAGAAGACGAAGUCCAGGCCAGGCAGAUAGUCCGCAGGUCGAAGUCAUUCACUGUCAUUGAUGGCCAAUUGUACAGGGAGAGCGUUUCAGGCGUUCUCCAACGAUGCAUCUCCCCAGAGGAGGGGCAGCUGAUCCUAGAAGAUAUUCACUCGAGGACCUGCGGUCAUCACGCCUCUUCGAGAGCAAUCAUCGCCAAGGCAUUCAGGGCUGGUUUUUUCUGGCUGCAGGCAAACGAGAUGGCUAAAGAUAUGGUCGACCGAUGUGAGGGUUGUCAGUUCUACUCCAACAAGUCCCACAAGCUGACAUAUGCGUUGAAGACAAUCCCUCUUGUGUGGCUGUUUGCAGUUUGGGGAUUAGAUACAGUCGGACCAUUCAAGACAGGCCAAGGGGAAUACACACAUCUGUUGGUGGCAGUCGACAAGUUCACGAAAUGGAUCGAAGCCAAGCCCAUCAAGAAACUCGACGCCUCAACAGCCGUCAAGUUUAUCAGGGACAUCAUCUCCAGAUUCGGUGUACCUCACAGCAUAAUCAUGGACAACGGGACAAACUUUGACUCGGACAGAUUCAAAGGUUUCUGUGCAAGCCAAGGUAUCCGAGUGGAUUUCGCUUCCGUAGCACAUCCUCAAUCCAAUGGACAAGCAGAGCGGGCGAAUGGGCUUAUUCUUCAAGGUUUGAAGCCCCGACUCCUGCGAGAGGUGGGACACGCCGUUGGCGCAUGGGUCACCGAGUUACCUUCAGUACUUUGGGGUCUCCGCACAACCCCGAACAGAUCUACAGGGCGAUCAUCGUUCUUCCUCGUUUAUGGAGCAGAAGCGGUCCUUCCGAGUGACUUGCUUCACAAUGCACCACGAGUCGAACUCUUCUCCGAAGCUGAAGCAGAACAAGCAAGGCAAGAUGGAGUGGACCUUUUGGAGGAAGAGCGCGAGAUGGCACUGACUCGCUCAACCAUUUAUCAACAAGAUCUGUGGCGUUUUCAUGCACGCCACGUCAGGAGUUGCGCGUUCCAAGCAGGCGACCUGGUGCUCCGAGUGGAUCAGCAAAGACCUCACAAGUUGGCUCCGGCCUGGGAAGGACCUUUCAUCAUCUCCAAGGUGUUGAACAACGGAGCAUACAGACUCUACAACAUCGAGAGGGAGACAGACGAGCCGCAUGCAUGGAACGGAGACCUCCUGAAGCGCUUCUACACGUGAUCGUCGACUGAAGCAGUGUAAAGAACAAGUAUUGAUGAAAUAAUAUAAAGCAGAUUCAGUUUUUGCAGAUUCAGAAUUCUUCCGCGGUCGCAGACUCCGGUCACACAAAAAAAAAACUUAGUUGCGAUCCAGAAUCGCCUAAGUUCUAACUUCCUCCGAGUGUGCACUAAACGUCGCACUCGGGGNNNNNNNNNNNNNNNNNNNNNNNNNNNNNNNNNNNNNNNNNNNNNNNNNNNNNNNNNNNNNNNNNNNNNNNNNNNNNNNNNNNNNNNNNNNNNNNNNNNNACCCAGACGCCAGGGACCCUGGCGUCUGGGUUCUGAACCCAACUAGAUUAUAUGAUGGAGUGUUGUUGUGGGUCCCUCGGAUUCAUCCAAUUAUUUUUUGUUGAAUGAAAAUGCUUAACUAAAAAAUAAUAACACAAACGAUAUGCAUAGGUUGCAUCAACAAAAAGUACCCUUCAAAGUUCCAUUGAUAAUGAAUACACAAACGAUACGCAUAAGUUGCAUCAACAAAAAGACUAUUAUUUUUUAUUUCACUACAAGGUUCAGGCAAAUAAAACAUGUUGCUUAUUCUCGCACUACUGCCAUUGUUUACACUGCUGGCAUCCUCAGAAUGUGCACAACACAUAUGAUGUUCAUGUCGCCGCCAUUGCUGGGUUUGAAGCUAAAAACGAUGGCAUCGCCUUCUUCAAGGUUGUUCUGGGUUGCAAAUAUAACCCAUUGAUUGGUGAGAACCAUCCGUCCAUCGCAAUUAGUGUGGAAUGCAACAUUCAUGCUUUCUCCAGCUCUAAGGCAAAUGCCAGCUACACCCACUGGUGGUAAGGUCAGUUGUUCAGCCACUUUCCUUGUGAUUUUCUAUAUAAUAAUGAUAGACACAAGAAAAAGAAAAAACAUGUUAGAAAAGAAAAGGCCACAAUGAACAAAUAAUAGUAAAGGGUACAUGACACUUACCAUGGUCUUCUUGCUUAUGUUUGUGGUUGUCAAGCGAUGAAUAAAAAAAGAUCCAAUAUACCCGUCAUUGUUGGUAAGAACCACAUCCAACAAUGAUCAUUCAGCGUCACUCAGCACACAUCCAUGUGUGUACACAAGUUCUCGGGCAUUUGCUUUCUCAUGGUCAUCAUUUUCAUCUGACUCAAUGUCGAAAAUCUCUACACCAGCACCCUUGCCUACUUCGUCCUCGUCUGCAACAAUAUUCUCGUUUGGGUCCCCAUCAUUUGCAAGAUGUGCAAAACCAAGAUGGGCCACCUACGCCUCUGCCGUUCGCUUAGAUGUGUCAAAAACAACUAAUGCAUUGGCCCCAAUAUUGAAGUCCGCGACAAACUUCACCAAAUCAUUGCCGCCCAUCACUGUGGUAAUGUCCCUUUGUACACAUCCAAUACAUACCUAUUCCCAUGUGCUUUGAAAUUGAAGGACCUUCCAGCUACGUGCUUUAGACUAUCCCUUAUAGUGCAUGGUAUAUUCUACAGAAAAGACAAAUACAAACAACAUGGUAAAUAGAAAAAACAUAGAGACAUUAAGAGCAUGUCAAAAAAAAUGAUAAAACAUUACUAUGAACUCAACGUCAUUGUUGACAUAAAUUGUCCAUCUCUCAGUGGCGUUGUUCUCGCACCGUGCAUGGUAAACUGGGCAAACCAUCCUUUUCAAGAUACAACAAAAAUAAAAUGGUUACGUACAUAAUAAUUAAAUGUUCGAUUAAAAAUAUGAAAACAUCAAAAUAAAGAUAACUAAGAAAACCUACAAAUCUUCUAAGAACAACUAAAUGUCCUCUUCAACAACACCUACUUAAAACAAACAUAAAAUGGGGAAAGGAAAAGACUCACCUAUCAUAUAUUUGAAACUCUUAUAUAAUAAGUACAUCAUCUAACAACUACAAAAAAAAUCCCUAAUCUAAUACAUCAUCAAACAUCUAACCUAACCGCAAUAUUUAAUCAAAUUGAUAAUAUAACCUAACCUAACCAUGCCUAAAAAACUAUAUCACCUAACCUAAUACAUCAUCUAAUACAUAAUAUAACCUAACCUAGUCGAACAUAUAAGAAAUACAUCAUCUAACAAAUACAAUACAAUCUCUAAUACUAAUACAAAAUCAACUAAUCAAACAUAACCUAAUAUUCAAAAAAACAAUCAAAAUAAGAUGUUCAAACAAAAGAAAAUUGAAGGGAUUGGGGAAGAUUACGUCAACGAAGCUUUGGGUAAUCCAAUUUAGUGAUUUUGGUGGAGGAGGAAGUAGAUUAAGUGGGGGGAGGGUGUGAGGGGAAGAUGGGGAGAGAGAGAGAUGAGUUCUGGCGGCUGAGGGUGGAGGAAGAAGAUGGGCUGGUGGGUGGGUUGGGCCAAGGGGUUAUUUAAAUUACCCGAGCCAGAUGUCAGGGUUUCUGGCGUCUGGGUCUGGGGCAGACGUCGGGGACUCUGGCGUCUGGGUCCCUUCGCCACGUCACCUGGUCAACGCGAGGCAGAUCGAGUGGGCCAUACCAGACGCCAGGGUCCCUGACGUCUUCUGCGCAACCGAGACGUUAGGGACGUUGGCGUCAUGCAAAAAGGUCAAACCAGAAAAUAUUUUGAAAUGCAGGUCGGAUCGGUAUUUACUUCACAUUGAAGGUUAUAACAAAAAAAAUCGGCCCAUAUAUACGCGAGCCGAGCUAUCAGCACGUACAGAGCCACCGCCGCCCGGGAGAUAGCCAGCACAAGAAACCCACGGGCGCCGCAACUUUUCCACGCGUGCGACGUGACGAACGCCCGGCAGUAAUUUUCCUCUACUCCUGCCUACGUCUCUACGCGAACAUCACUGUUCGUCGCGCCCGUUCCACCGUAGGCGAAGACUUAUAUUGCUCAGGACUUGUAGAAAUAUUUAGAGCGACACCGAUCGAUCGCCGGAAGGUUCCGCCGCCGGUGAAGCGUGGAGGCGACGAUCGCGUGCAGCGUGCUGAUCGACGCCUGGCUCGGCACCAUGCAUCGUCACGCACACGCAGAAUUAGGUUCCGUCGGGUCCGUGUCGGGGGCACAGGGGCAGUCGGUUGCACCACUCGCUUGCUCUGCGUGCGUGCGCACGCAUGCAGCCGGUCGAGGACGGACGGGCACGGCUCUACCGAAUGGAACGGGUCUGAGAUGAGAUGAGAUCAUGGCGAGCUACCAAGUGCUACGAGUGGUGCAGCUCCUGUGCGACGUCCUUCUCGUCGGUUUAACUGCGUGGAAUGGAUUUUGGGUCGUCGUCUCCAGCUACUUGGCCAUUUAUCGCAGACGAUGGAGAAGUAAUCCCGAAAGAAGUGUGUGUGUGUAUACGGUGUGGUAAUACACACGUCGGCGCGUGCCGCCUCACCGCUACUUGGUAGUACUCCGUACAUCCAAGGGCAGAAGACCCAAAUUCGUUUCUAGCUCGUCGUCUAGCUAGUCGAUUCUUCUCCCGAAAACGACUCGCGCAACCCCCUCGCGUCGCUCCCGCGAGCGACCGAGGGGGCGAACCGCCUCCAGCUCCCUCCCUCAUCGUCCCCGGCGUGCGCCGCUGCUCCGGUCAGCGUAGGCGGCGGCGGGAUCCCCUUCUUCUCACACGAUGCCGGGCGGCAUGGGACGACGGCUUCAACGACGACGUCUUGCGGAUCCAUGGCACGACGACACGACGGAUCCUGACGGCGGUGCUUGGCGACGCGGGUGGAUCGGUUUGUCGUGGCGUGCCGGUUGGCUGGACGAGGCUAGAAGAUGGAGGUGGGGCGGGGCGUGGCCUGUGGCGAUGGCGUCCAAUCCGGAUCUGGUCUUGACGGUGGUGAUCGUGACGGCUGGCCCGGAUCUGACCAUGGUGGUGGCGGCGUCCCCUUCGCCGGGGAUGACGGGCCAGGUGGUGGGUCCUUGUGGCGGCGCCGAUGACGUCGUAUCUUGGGAUCUCGUGUCCGGACUCGUCGCAAGACGCGCAUGGCGGUCAAAGCUUCCUCCGGCGUCGACGGUGCUUGAUGCAGGAUCGCGGCGGCGGUUGACGUUGUAUGGGCGACCACAGCGUGUGGCGCGACGGUGGGUGCUCCCUGUAGCGCUCGGAAUCGGGGCGGCUGCCCCUCUUCAUCAACAACGACGGACUCCGGGAUCGUGUGGGCGACCCAGAGUCCGAAUCUCGAGAUGGUGACGGCCUUCUGAGGCUGGUGGCGGUAUGUGACGUCCCCUUCAUCAACAUAUCGGGUCGAUGCGGCUCGACAUGUGACACAUAGCCUCUCUCGAAGUUGUCGGGCGGUGCCUGUCGUUGGCAGGUGAAGCUACCGGUGGAUGUACUACCGGCGGAUGCUACGCACAACGUCUUAUACGGAGACGUCAAGUCAUGCCUUCUACCGGUAGGUGAUGCACGACGGUUCUAUUGGAGGUGUUUUACCCUUAUCGAAGGUCUUGUGCGAGGGAUUUCAAGGAUACUUUGGGCUAUCUCGAGGUUGAGGUUUUUCAUCAGGAAUCCAAGGAGAUCACGGGUUUUCCGUGGUCGAGGUUUCUAACGUAGCUUGUGGUAGUUUGUGAUGGACUAGUUGGGGCAUUUCGAAAAGCCAUGCCCGCGGUUAUGUGGCAAUUUAAAAACUUUGUUUAACACCUGGUCAUUGCAAACUUGAAGUAAACUUAAUCAAAAAAUGUCAACUGUGUGCGUAAGUGUGACUGUCUCUACUCGUGAGUUCUGCAUCCGAGAGAGGACACGGUGUGGUUAUGUUUGACUCGUAAGUAGGUGUUCAGUGUCACUUCGUGAUCAUGACUAGUUCACGUCCGUUAUGCGUAGAUCACCCUCCUAUUAUUUUUGUACUCGUAAGUUAGUCACUCAAAUAAAUGCUUAGUGCUUGUUGUAGCCUCACCACUUCACCAUACCUCAUCCAUUAAGCUUUGCUAGUCUUUAUAUCUUUGGAAAUGAGAUUGCUCAACCCCUGUGACUCACACAUUACUACAACAAUAGUUGCAGGUACAGGUAAAGCUAUACUUUAACAUGCGUGUGAUGAUUGUUCUAUUUGGAGUUUCUUCUUCUUAAUCAUCAUCUAUGUAGGAUAGGUUCCGGACCGACAGCCUGGGAUAGCAAGGAUGAACAUCGUUCUUUUAUCGUUUGGUUUCAUCUGUAGUCGGACCCUGCUCUUCUACAUGAUGUUUGAAUGUAUUGUUGUAUUGAGAUGCUCAUGUUGUAGCUUGUGGCGAGUGUAAGCCAAAUCCAUAUACUCAUCUCUUCUGUACAUGUACUUAUAACGAUAUCCAUUUUUACAAAACAACGAGAUGCACCUCAAUUCCUAUUGAGGCCCUCGAGCCAAAAUAAAGAUAGGAUCGCAUCUUGGACGUUACAGAUUAUGAGGCGAACACGUGGAGCUACUCCUUACGGCACGACAUGCUUCACACCAUUUAACGCCCACACAUGCUCUCACGAAUAACUCGGCAAAUGUGAUGACACAUCAAGUAGUGUGAAGGUUGUUGUUACACUAUAGCAAUCCCCCAAAUAAAAUCCCACUAGCUAAUUGCCCAUGUGUUGCAACAUCGGCAUACGUAUUCUAAUAGUUAGACAUCAAGCAUGUUUGAUAUAUAUGUUACACCAGUCAUAUUCUAGAUUUUGGUAAAAGUUAAUUUGAUUUGAGUAAGGGUUGAUGGAAGUUCUGAUUUAGUUACAGUUUUGGUAAGAUUCUAUUAUAUUUUGGCAUAGGUAUGAAGGCAAAGAAACUUUUAAUUUAGUGGAGGUUUUGGUAAGAUGUGAUUUGAUUUGAUUAAAUUAAUGCAAGUGCUUUUGGUAAGAUUUGAUUCAGUUAUUUUAGAGCAUGGUUUCCAUUAGGACAAGCAAAUGAAAACACCGAUAUAGUUUAGAUUAUUCGAAAUCAGGGGAAGACGAAACCACAUUUGGAGAGGUACAAGCAUCAAUCCUUUGAUAGUAGAAAUGCAUGUGAUAAGCUCACUCGAAACUUAAGCUAUUAAAAACACAUGGAUGAUAUAUUAAAGUGUUUAGAAAUAUGUAUGAGUUUGUCUCUUUAUGUCUCUAUUUUUGCCUACAACUAGGUAUAAAAUUGACACCAUCCUAAAUACAACUUUAAUCCGGCCAAAUUCAAAAAACAGGGGAAUAGAACCAGGGUGACAACUGUUGGAAUUAUGCCCUAGAGGCAAUAAUAAAUAUAGUUAUUAUUAUAAUUCCUGUAUCAAGAUAAUCGUUUAUUAUCCAUGCUAUAAUUGCAUUGAAUGAAGACUCAUUUACAUGUGUGGAUACAUAGACAAAACACCGUCCCUAGCAAGCCUCUAGUUGGCUAGCCAGUUGAUCAAAGAUAGUCAGUGUCUUCUGAUUAUAAACAAGGUGUUGUUGCUUGAUAACUGGAUCACGUCAUUAGGAGAAUCACGUGAUGGACUAGACCCAAACUAAUAGACGUAGCAUGUUGAUCGUGUCAUUUUGUUGAUACUGUUUUCUGCGUGUCAAGUAUUUAUUCCUAUGACCAUGAGAUCAUAUAUCUCACUGACACCGGAGGAAUGCUUUGUGUGUAUCAAACGUCGCAACGUAACUGAGUGACUAUAAAGAUGCNCGGGAGUUCACCGGGGAGGGGGGGGCAACCCACCCCGGGGAAGCCCAUAGGCCUUGAGGGUGGCACACCAGCCCUUAGUGGGCUGGUGGGACAGCCCAAAAGGGCUUUAUGCACCAAGAAGAGAAAAUCAAGAGAAAAGAAAAAAACAGGAGGAGGUGGGAAGGAAGGGGGACUCCCUCCCACCAAACCAAGUCCAACUCGGUUUGGGGGGGGGAGUCCUCCCCCCUUGGACUCGGCCGACCCCUUUGGGGCUCCUUGAGCCCCAAGGCAAGGUCCCCUCCCUCCCACCUAUAUAUAUGGAGGUUUUAGGGCUGAUUUGAGACGACUUUUUCACGGCAGCCCGACCACAUACCUCCAUGGUUUUUCCUCUAGAUCGCGUUUCUGCGGAGCUCAGGCGGAGCCCUGCUGAGACAAGGUCAUCACCAACCUCCGGAGCGCCGUCACGCUGCCGGAGAACUCUUCUACCUCUCCGUCUCUUUUGCUGGAUCAAGAAGGCCGAGAUCAUCGUCGAGCUGUACGUGUGCUGAACGCGGAGGUGCCGUCCGUUCGGUACUAGAUCGUGGGACUGAUCGCGGGAUUGUUCGCGGGGCGGAUCGAGGGACGUGAGGACGUUCCACUACAUCAACCGCGUUCACUAACGCUUCUGCUGUACGAUCUACAAGGGUACGUAGAUCACUCAUCCCCUCUCGUAGAUGGACAUCACCAUGAUAGGUCUUCGUGCGCGCAGGAAAUUUUUUGUUUNNNNNNNNNNNNNNNNNNNNNNNNNNNNNNNNNNNNNNNNNNNNNNNNNNNNNNNNNNNNNNNNNNNNNNNNNNNNNNNNNNNNNNNNNNNNNNNNNNNNNNNNNNNNNNNNNNNNNNNNNNNNNNNNNNNNNNNNNNNNNNNNNNNNNNNNNNNNNNNNNNNNNNNNNNNNNNNNGCGACGUUCCCCAACAACAACAUGAUAGGGGAACGAGAGACUUCUAGUCAUGGCAGUUGUCAUCGAUCCACGAAUCAAGGGAUGAAUCAAGACGCCUCUCUCUUCAAGGGAGAUACAGGAACAAAGCAUCGUAUGAAGGAGAGCGGAUAGUACUUCCGAUUGUGGCAGUUAGCAUCAAUGCAUCAAUGCGUGGAAGGAGGGAAGAAACACGAAAACACGACACAUUCCCCUCCCAAUAUAGGGAAACAAACUAUAUAGUUUUGAGGAGAGUCGAUAAUACUUUUGGUCAUGGCGGUUGGCGUCGAUGCACGGAUCGAGGGAAGAAUCAUUCUCUUGCGGGGAGAUACAGUCAAAUGAGAUUCGUUUCGCGAAGAGUGAAUACUACUUAUGUCGUGGCAAUUGUCGUGAAUGCACAUAUUGCGGGAGGAAGCGCGGCGCAUUCCCCCCCCCCCCCCNNNNNNNNNNNNNNNNNNNNNNNNNNNNNNNNNNNNNNNNNNNNNNNNNNNNNNNNNNNNNNNNNNNNNNNNNNNNNNNNNNNNNNNNNNNNNNNNNNNNNNNNNNNNNNNNNNNNNNNNNNNNNNNNNNNNCAUUCCCCCCCCCCCACCCCAGAUAGGAAAAUGUAUCUCAGUUACAAGGAGAGACGACAAUACUUUCGAUCGUGACAGAUGGCGUCGACGCACGGCUAAAAAAACGCAAAGAGGGACAUUUUUCUCAGAUAGAAAAACAGACCUCAAUUUCACGAAAAGCGGAUAGCAAGGAAUUGGUUCGGAGAGCAAUUGGUGGGUGGGGUGUUAGUUUUUGUUGUCCCCCCUAUCAUCAUAACUAUUGGGGAAGUGGAGUGUGGAUAUGCCAAAGCCAAAACACAACUUUACUCGGCACAUGCGUUAUUCUCACUGUGCGAGGAAACCGGGAACGGGAGCCGGGUCCAAGGCCAAAAUGCAAAUCUACUCAAACAGGAACGCAAACCAAUCGAAUCGAAUCGUCCAAGACGCGGUCAAUUGCAUUGCCUUGCCCGCGGGUAUCAUUGUCGAUCCAUCGCCCCUCUCCCGUCCGCGCCUCCAUCUUUCUUCUCCUCCUUCUCUUCGUCCCCGAACCUUAUUUAUGCCCCCGGCGGCCGCGGCCGCGGCCUCCCUCCCCUGACGGACGGAGAAAAGAUCCCGAGCACCUGCACCACCACCAGCACCACCUCCGCCGACCAACUUCCCAUUUCGAAGAAGCCCACCCGAGCCUAAACAAACCGAAAAGGAAAGAAGGAAAGGCGGGCGGCAGGUGCGUGCGUCGGCGUCGGCCGCGAGAAUUUAGCACCCGCCGCGCCCGUGCCGAGGGAGAUGAGAUGAGAUGAGAUGGGCAUGAGGUGCUGCAAGAGGCACCCGUCGCAGGCCGGCGGCGGCGUCUGCGCCACGUGCCUGCGGGACCGCCUGCUCGUGCUCGCCGCCGCGCAGAACGACGCCUCGUCGCCGUCCACUCCUCCGCCCGCCGCUNNNNNNNNNNNNNNNNNNNNNNNNNNNNNNNNNNNNNNNNNNNNNNNNNNNNNNNNNNNNNNNNNNNNNNNNNNNNNNNNNNNNNNNNNNNNNNNNNNNNNNNNNNNNNNNNNCCGCCGCCCCCUCCCCCGCCCGCCGCUCACCCUCCGGCCGCGGCCCCGGCCCCGGCGUUCCCAAGGUCCGUGUCGCCCUACGUGUCCCGCAGGAAGUCCGACUCCUCGGGCGGCGCGCUCAGGCACCACCACCCGAGCCUGCUCUUCUUCCGGACGCCGCAGGUCGGCCCAGCCUACGGCGGCAGCGCCCCGCUCGAGGAAGGCGACAUCGGGUACCACAAGCCGCGCGCCGGCAAGUUCUCCCUGCUCUCCACGCUCUUCGGGAACCACCACCACCGCCACCACGGGUCGGAGGACAAGGACACAGCCAAGGAGCGCAAGAAGAGCCGUUCUUGGCUCGUCGGGAUCAUCCCGCGCCGUCGCAAAAAACAGGUACCGGCCGACGCCGUGCUACCCGCGUCGCCGCCGCCCAGGCGCUCCUGCCGCGUGGUCAGCAACCGGGGGCUGUCGCCGGAGAGGGGCAGUCAGGGCAGCGGCGAGGAGAGCAGCUCGCCCGCUGAACCCGCGUGGCGGCCGUCACCUUCCCCGAUGCGGAGGACCCCGUGCCGGCGCCGCCAGACCAACAGCAUGCCUUCGGGACUGGCCGUCUGCCUCAGCCCGCUGGUGCGGCCAAGCCCCGGGCGCCGCCACCGCGCCGCGCAGCCGCCGGACCCCGGCUCCUUCUCCUCCGAGCUGCGGCCGUCGCCGCUCCACAGCGCCGCCUCCGUUGGCCGCUGCCGCUCCAGGAAGCUCGCCGACGGCGGUCGCUUCCGGUGAUCUCUUCUUUUUUCUUUCUUCUCCUUGAAUUUUCUUUAGUCUUCCUUCAUCACCCGAUCCCAAUUACUACCACCCUUAGCUUUCUGUGGAUAUUUUUAUUGUUUACAUCUUGUCCAUUUGUGAAGAUGAGUCCGUGAGAUUUCAUACUCGGAGAACACUCCGUUGACAUAUAUACUACAACCACUAGGUUAUUACUCCUGAUUGCUCGCCCGCUGAUCAUCUUUUGAGACUGUAAUGAGUUGGGUGUUCACCUCCUUUGUGCAGCUAGCCGUCUGGUUCUAAACUUCUAAUCUGAUUUGAUUUGCAAAAACUUAAUCCGUUGCCGCUUUGAUGUCCGGGAAUUAAGAAGGAAUAGACUUUACUGACGCGUGAUGGCAGUAGGUACGGGGAAUGCAUAGUGUAUGGAAUUGAAUGCCCGAGUUAUGAGCGCGAGAGAUCUGGUGUGUGUGUGUGCGCCGAUUAAAUUAGAAAAGAAGGUUCGCCAUCGCAUUGUGCUGUCCGAACGGAAUUCUGAAUCUGAGGCGGCCGAUGGAUACUCCCUACUACUACUCCCUACCACUGCUCCGUGAGAGACGCAUCAAAUCAAUUCCGUUUGGUCAGAGGUUUCACAUGGAGGCCGGCAGCACAUUUAUAUGGGCGGCCGAUGGCUGCUCCCGCCUCCAUUUACUCUUUUUCGUUUGCGGGUGCACCAAACCGGACUAAUCAAUGAUCCCCAACCUCCUCCUGCUAGCUCUGACCCGCGUUAUUGAGCAUCUUGUUCCCGCCAACUUGUGCAUGCGCACACCGACCAGACGAGACACGAAAAAGAAGAAUCAUUUGUCGCGGCAGUGCAUUUCGCUUGAAUUACACGAAAGUUGACGCCAAUUCGCAGGGGAUUCUCCGUAUGCUCUCGCGUGAUGUGUUUGUGUUUUGCUGGUGACUUGUGGGUUUUCCACGACGUGAGUGGGGGAUACUGGGAUGAGAUGACCAUGAU
Molecule: long non-coding RNA, 26536 nt
Filed under: Hordeum vulgare
Lineage: Eukaryota; Viridiplantae; Streptophyta; Magnoliopsida; Poales; Poaceae
Description: long non-coding RNA (HVUL_LNC016484)
Source: RNAcentral